AAUAGAAGUCUAUGGAGAAAUGAGCCACUUCUCACUUGAUUUAUUACCUCAGUAAACAUCUUCAUAGUGAGUUUAUGGUCUCGAUCGCUAGUUCUAAGUAUUCUGCAAUACAGAAUGAUAUUCAUUUUUGAAAUUACGUUCUCGUUGAUUUUAAAAUAGGCGAUAAAGCCGGGGGUGUUUUAGGGCGUGGCUAUGAUGUGAUUGACAGUUCUCGGCCUGUCAAUCAUGACAGAGUGUUAGCAAAGCUUGUCCAUGGCACGUAAACUUCAUUUUGGGGAUUUACUACGUUCCAUCGCUGUGGCUGUGACACUUUGGUCGGAUAAUAAUGUCUUGUUCAGCGGUCGGUUGCACGGCAAGACACUCAAAGGAAUCGGCAGUUCAGUUUUUCCGACUUCCUUUUGAUGAGGCCAGGCUGAAGCAAUGGUUGGUGAACAUGAGGAGAGAGAGACCAGCAAAUGGAACCACGAAAAGUCACGUCUGCAGUUCACACUUUGAGGAAGAUCAGUUUUUUAGAGACAAUCAGGUAUCCGCACUGAAAACUGAAAGAGCAGAGCCUCCAGAAGGAAGACCUGGUGUAUAGAGCGGCGUAUUUGGUGCCAUUUCAUCUGGAU
This is a long non-coding RNA of Etheostoma spectabile (orangethroat darter), 611 nucleotides long. RefSeq lists it as uncharacterized. Lineage: Eukaryota; Metazoa; Chordata; Actinopteri; Perciformes; Percidae. The record is from RefSeq and is a predicted model, not a curated record. The transcript is spliced from 3 exons.